CGCUCCUGAGCUCCCGGGGUAUUAAAUUAAAUCGCCAAAAGUUGUACGAGCGUAAACGUGGUCCUAUUCCAGUGGGUGACUCAACUUUUAUCACUGCUUAGAGCGAAAUCGGAAUAUCUCAAAGAUAAUUUUGACACUGGUUCUAUAAGAAGAAGAAUAAAUCUCUCGCCAUCCCCAAAUGCAGCUCUUGCAACGCCGGCUGGCCCAGGCUGCGUCAGACCCCUGGAAUCUGGUGGUGACAUUGUAAUUGCUUUCCUCGGUCUCAUGGAGCUGCCACAGCUGUCAGAGGAGAGUUACUAAUGAGAACCCCGGGAGAGGCACGCAGCGCCGUACUCCAGGAACACCCCAGCGGGAUGGAGGUCUGCAAAUUCAUCCUUCUCCUUGCCCUGUGUUUUAUUCUCCCCUCUGCGUCUCCUCCACCCCUGAAUAAGAAGCCGGGGUGCCUCAAGGUGAGCCACUGCAAGUGUCUCCUGAAGGACGGCUCGGGCGUCAUUAACCUGGCGGCGCUGGGCGGCUCGGCCGGGCUCCCGCAGCGCUACAGAGCCGAGCCGGCGGGGGCGGACGAGGUGCUGGUGUCGUUCAGCCCCUGCUCGCCCUUCUCCGAGCCCGCUGAGGUUCCCGGCACCCAGUGCCUGGAGGUGGCCGCCUGCGUGGUCGUGAGACACCACACAAGCAGCGGCGGCGUCGAGAGUCGCUACUUCAACUACGGGCAACACGAAGGGAAUGAAUUCAGAUACGACAACCAAUCUCGGACCCUUUCAGUUACAUACCCAGCCUGUGGAGCACAACCGCGCCCUGGAGAUCUUCAUCCGGAGCCCCUGUGCCUGCCCCAACUCCUGCAACCUGGAGGACGUAGGGCCGAUGACCAUCUUCCUCAUCGUCCUCUGCCUCGGCACUGCUGCGUACUUCAUACUGGGUUCCUGCGCGCUGCGGCCCUUCAGGAGCACGCAGGGGGUGCAGAUCAGGCCCGAGGAGAGCCUGUGGUGCGUCCUGUGCUACCAGUUCACAGAGGAGAGAGGGAGGAGGCUGGGCCGGAGCCAGUGCAUCAAGGAGGAGACCCUCUGAAGCGGAGAACUUCGCAAGCCCUGUCUUGCAAUGUGGAGCGCUGCCCCCUGUCCUUAUCUCCAAGACACUUCAACACAUAGCCUCUAUCAGCCACAGGAAAGGCCAAUUACAUAGGGGGUGUUUAUAGAGGUAGUUAGAGAUAGCUUUCCCACCCAUGGGAAAAACUACACUAUGGAUCGAUGCAUGUUUGAGCACAUCCAAAAGAACCUGCUGCCCACCACAGUACCCAGUCGGCUGGCAUCCUGGAAGACUACCAGGAGAGGAAUGAUGGUCAAACUAAUAUGGGUCCCAACUUUGUCUGUGGAACCUUGUUCCUCACGGUUCCUGUCACCUUCAGAUCAUCCUUAACCCCCUCUGUGCUGGGAUCAUAGCCUGGGCUUUUCUCCACUAGGUGAUUGCUGGAGGUCAGUUCCUCAUUAACACCAGGAGAGGUCCUCCAGCUGACCUCUGCAUAGAUAAUGAGAUCCAAGACCAGAGGAGACGCAUGGCGAGCCGCAGCCUUGCAAAAGCUCUCGCAUGAACUGGAUUUUUUUUUUUUUACUCCAAAUUUGUUAAGUUUUUCUUUCCAUCCUAUUUUGGGUUUGUUUCUUUUAUAGUUGUCAGUUAGGCUACAGCCAGGAGUUAGCCAGGUCCCAUUAAUACUUUCCUUUUCUGUUUGCUAUAUUUUCAGGUCUACAGCUGGUUAGUUUUAUUUUCUUCAUCACGGGACCCACCAGUUUCUGGACUUGUUAUUUUUUCAGUUACCCAACUAACACUGUACCUGCUGUUAUGGAAUAAACAAGUGCCGGUUUUGUACAACUGCAGCUGAUUAUUAGCCACAAUGGGCACUUCGC
Molecule: long non-coding RNA, 1898 nt
Organism: Lepisosteus oculatus (spotted gar)
Lineage: Eukaryota; Metazoa; Chordata; Actinopteri; Semionotiformes; Lepisosteidae
Source: Ensembl